UCCCUGGUGGUCCAGUGGCUAGGAUUCUGCGCUCCCAAUGCAGGGGGCCCUGGUUCAAUCCCAGUCAGGGAA
This 72-nucleotide transfer RNA is filed under the name Ovis aries (sheep). It matches the Rfam family "tRNA". Rfam says of the family: Transfer RNA (tRNA) molecules are approximately 80 nucleotides in length. Lineage: Eukaryota; Metazoa; Chordata; Mammalia; Artiodactyla; Bovidae. The record is from Rfam by way of RNAcentral.